GACGAACGCUGGCGGCGUGCCUAAUACAUGCAAGUUGAGCGCUGAAGGUUGGUACUUGUACCAACUGGAUGAGCAGCGAACGGGUGAGUAACGCGUGGGGAAUCUGCCUUUGAGCGGGGGACAACAUUUGGAAACGAAUGCUAAUACCGCAUAAAACUUUAAACACAAGUUUUAAGUUUGAAAGAUGCAAUUGCAUCACUCAAAGAUGAUCCCGCGUUGUAUUAGCUAGUUGGUGAGGUAAAGGCUCACCAAGGCGAUGAUACAUAGCCGACCUGAGAGGGUGAUCGGCCACAUUGGGACUGAGACACGGCCCAAACUCCUACGGGAGGCAGCAGUAGGGAAUCUUCGGCAAUGGACGAAAGUCUGACCGAGCAACGCCGCGUGAGUGAAGAAGGUUUUCGGAUCGUAAAACUCUGUUGGUAGAGAAGAACGUUGGUGAGAGUGGAAAGCUCAUCAAGUGACGGUAACUACCCAGAAAGGGACGGCUAACUACGUG
Molecule: ribosomal RNA, 496 nt
Filed under: uncultured bacterium
Lineage: Bacteria
Description: partial 16S ribosomal RNA
Rfam family: Bacterial small subunit ribosomal RNA
Source: RNAcentral